Molecule: ribosomal RNA, 774 nt
Filed under: uncultured Neocallimastigales
Lineage: Eukaryota; Fungi; Neocallimastigomycota; Neocallimastigomycetes; Neocallimastigales
Description: partial large subunit ribosomal RNA
Rfam family: Eukaryotic large subunit ribosomal RNA
Source: RNAcentral
CGUCUAUAUACGUAUAGCAUAUCAAUAAGCGGAGGAAAAGAAACUAACUAGGAUUCCCUUAGUAACGGCGAGUGAAGCGGGAAGAGCUCAAAUUUGAAAUUUUCAAGGUUUUACCUUGACGAAUUGUAGUUUAAAGAAGUGUUUUCUGUUGGUGUUUUGGUAAAAGUUCUUUGGAAUAGGACAUCAUAGAGGGUGAGAAUCCCGUAUUUGACCAUUAUCUCCAGCUUUGUGAUACACUUUCAAAGAGUCGGAUUGUUUGGGAAUGCAGUCCAAAAUGGGUGGUAAAUUUCAUCUAAAGCUAAAUAUUGGCGAGAGACCGAUAGCGAACAAGUACCGUGAGGGAAAGAUGAAAAGAACUUUGAAAAGAGAGUUAAACAGUACGUGAAAUUGUCAAAAGGGAAGCGUUUGACACCAGUGUUGUUUUCUCGAAAAUCAAUUAAAAAAGACUGGAUUUUGUGUUGUAUUGACUUUAUCAGCUUUCUGCACUCUUUUCUUGUCUUUUUUAAUGCACUUUUCGUUUAACAAGUCAACAUCAAUUUCUUUUGUUGUAAAAGGGUCAUUGGAAGGUGGCUUUCUUUUCGGAGAAAGUGUUUAUAGCCUUUGGCCUCUGCAAUCGGAGAGAUUGAGGUCUGCAGCGUAGAUCCUUCGGGGUUAGAUACAUUUGUGCUAAGUUAUAGCCUUUCAUAGACAACUUGUUGACUAUGAUCAGUCAUGUAGCUUACUCGCUUAUGCUAUUUUACCUACGCUUAGGAUGUUGACUGAUAUGUAGUCGUA